This 500-nucleotide ribosomal RNA is filed under the name uncultured Acidobacteriota bacterium. RNAcentral's name for it is "bacterial SSU rRNA". It matches the Rfam family "Bacterial small subunit ribosomal RNA", at positions 1004 to 1503 of the family's 1533-position model. Lineage: Bacteria; Pseudomonadati; Acidobacteriota. The record is from RNAcentral.
GAACAUCCCUUUCUCGCAAGAGACUGCUGCGGAGGUGCUGCAUGGCUGUCGUCAGCUCGUGUCGUGAGAUGUUGGGUUAAGUCCCGCAACGAGCGCAACCCUUAUCCCUAGUUGCCAUCGGGUCAAGCCGGGCACUCUAGUGAAACUGCCUCGGAUAACGAGGAGGAAGGUGGGGAUGACGUCAAGUCCUCAUGGCCUUUAUGUCCAGGGCUACACACGUGCUACAAUGGUCGGUACAAACCGUCGCAAACCCGUGAGGGGGAGCUAAUCGGAAAAAGCCGGCCUCAGUUCGGAUUGGAGUCUGCAACUCGACUCCAUGAAGCUGGAAUCGCUAGUAAUCGCGGAUCAGAACGCCGCGGUGAAUACGUUCCCGGGCCUUGUACACACCGCCCGGCACAUCACGAAAGUGGGCCGUACUAGAAGCUGGUGUGCUAACCGCAAGGGGGCAGCCAUCCAAGGUACAGCUCAUGAUUGGGGUGAAGUCGUAACAAGGUAGCCGU